This 503-nucleotide ribosomal RNA is filed under the name uncultured bacterium. Its description in RNAcentral is "partial 16S ribosomal RNA". It matches the Rfam family "Bacterial small subunit ribosomal RNA", at positions 30 to 523 of the family's 1533-position model. The record is from RNAcentral.
AUUGAACGCUGGCGGCAGGCUUAACACAUGCAAGUCGUGCGGGGUGAUGGUGCUUGCACUAUCACUUAGCGGCGGACGGGUGAGUAAUGCUUAGGAAUCUGCCUAUUAGUGGGGGACGACAUCUCGAAAGGGAUGCUAAUACCGCAUACGUCCUACGGGAGAAAGCAGGGGAUCACUUGUGACCUUGCGCUAAUAGGUGAGCCUAAGUCGGAUUAGCUAGUUGGUGGGGUAAAGGCCUACCAAGGCGACGAUCUGUAGGGGGUCUGAGAGGAGGAUCCGCCACACUGGGACUGAGACACCGCCCAGACUCCUACGGGAGGGAGCAGUGGGGAAUAAUGGACAAUGGGGGGAACCCUGAUCCAGCCAUGCCGCGUGUGUGAAGAAGGCCUUAUGGUUGUAAAGCACUUUAAGCGAGGAGGAGGCUCUUUUGGUUAAUACCCAAGAUGAGUGGACGUUACUCGCAGAAUAAGCACCGGCUAACUCUGUGCCAGCCGCCGCAGUAA